GCCGGGCAUAGUGGCGCAUGCCUGUAAUCCUAGCUACUUGGGAGGCUGAGGCACAAGAAUCGCUUGAACUCAGGAGCUGGAGGUUGCAGUGAGCUGAGAUCACACCACUGCACUCCAGCCUGGGCAACAGAGCGAGACUCUGUCUCAA
This is an unclassified non-coding RNA of Pongo abelii (Sumatran orangutan), 148 nucleotides long. It matches the Rfam family "Metazoan signal recognition particle RNA". From Rfam's summary of the family: The signal recognition particle (SRP) is a universally conserved ribonucleoprotein. It is involved in the co-translational targeting of proteins to membranes. The eukaryotic SRP consists of a 300-nucleotide 7S RNA and six proteins: SRPs 72, 68, 54, 19, 14, and 9. The record is from Ensembl. NCBI's taxonomy places the organism in Eukaryota, Metazoa, Chordata, Mammalia, Primates, Hominidae.